GGAAGUUGCCAACUGAUGAAACAAGGCAGUUGCCAAUUGAUGAUGUAUCUAAUAUCGCUGCGUGGAAGAGUGUGAACUUUGAAGAACUUGUACACAAUAAAAAGGAAGUUGUGGGCAUGGAAAUAAUGAUUGUAAGUCUCAGGUAUCUCAGCACUGGAGAUGCAACCUAAACAUGCUAAAUUUGGUGCAGAUUCAUGCUAGAAGCUAGUAAUUGAGAAACAGGUAUCUUUCUUUGAGAAAACCUAAUGGCCUCUUGCGUUGUGUGAAUAAUCUUAUAAGAAACCAGAUAUUAACAUCAAAUGGUAAAGCUUGUUAAACAAAAUUUUCAUAAACCUACCCUGCAAUAAGUUGGCAAUUGUGAAGUACAUAUAAAAAAAUUAAGCCUGGAAGAAACAUUACUUUAUCAAGUUGCACAUCCUU
Molecule: unclassified non-coding RNA, 420 nt
Filed under: Hevea brasiliensis (rubber tree)
Lineage: Eukaryota; Viridiplantae; Streptophyta; Magnoliopsida; Malpighiales; Euphorbiaceae
Source: RNAcentral